UACGUAGGGUGCAAGCGUUAAUCGGAAUUACUGGGCGUAAAGCGCGCGCAGGCGGUUCUUUAAGUCUGGUGUUUAAACCCGAGGCUCAACUUCGGGUCGCACUGGAAACUGGGGGACUUGAGUGCAGAAGAGGAGAGUGGAAUUCCACGUGUAGCGGUGAAAUGCGUAGAUAUGUGGAGGAACACCAGUGGCGAAGGCGACUCUCUGGGCUGUAACUGACGCUGAGGCGCGAAAGCGUGGGGAGCAAACAGG
Molecule: ribosomal RNA, 252 nt
Filed under: uncultured bacterium
Lineage: Bacteria
Description: partial 16S ribosomal RNA
Rfam family: Bacterial small subunit ribosomal RNA
Source: RNAcentral